AGUUUAACUGUUCCUUGAAAGAGAUAGAAAAUGAUGUGAAAUAUUCUUUCAUUUUCCCUACCACCAAACCAAACACGGCCCUAUUGCUCAAUGCUCAUCCCUGCACUGUACAUCAUCAUUAAGAAAAAAACAGCUUCAAUGUCAAUUUUCUACAUUUCUUCAAUUUCCAAUUCGGAACUCCUCUCUCAGUUUAUACAAUAGUCGACAAAGCUUUUUCAAAUCCCUAACUUUACGAUACAAAGAUAAUGAUUCUCCAACUAUGAGCUUCAAGCAACUCACUUCAGGAUUUAGGUUCUGCAGUUCAAGCUGAUCAAUGGCAAAAAUUAGUAGGCAGGUACUGCAAUCCCAAUCAGAUAGAUCUGGCGUACAUUGAGCAAGAGUGUAAAUUGUUUGAUGAUCAUUCAAUUUUACCAAUCUUGUUUCGUAAUUCUUAGUAGUACUCUCUCCUGUUUGCAAAUUAUUCACUUCAUAUAAAAUAUCUGCUAGUUUCCAAGUGGCGAAGCUUUGCAGCAGGUUCGGGUUUAAAGCCAAAUUGAAUUGGUGAAAUUUUGGAGCACUUGUAUUGAUACCUGAAAGAAGAGAAUGAUAGGAAUAGCGAAGUAAGCAUUUAUCGUACCAAAUUAUAGCCUCUUUGGAGGUAGGACACUCUGAGGAUAUUCUUUUGGUUGCAUCCUGGACACAUAACUGACAGAGGGUAGGGGAGAGGGAGAUAUCACCGCGGCACAUAAAGAGGCCAUUGACCGUGUCGACAGUUGUCUUGAAGAAACUGGUUCUGAUGGCAUUGGAAGACAAUGAAGAGAAUAGUGUUCUGAGAUUUGAUAGAAAAUUGUUGUUCAUGGUUUCAUUGCUUGUACAAUUGUGGGAAAGAUAAGCUGGAUGCUGUGAGUAUUUUGAAUCAAUUGUAUUGGAAGCUGGAACGACAUCUUGUGGUGUUGGGGUAUUACUGGGGCGAUAGAAAGGGUACACGUCAUAUUUGAUGUAACAAUU
Long non-coding RNA from Trifolium pratense (red clover), 987 nucleotides. RefSeq lists it as uncharacterized. Lineage: Eukaryota; Viridiplantae; Streptophyta; Magnoliopsida; Fabales; Fabaceae. The record is from RefSeq and is a predicted model, not a curated record. The transcript is spliced from 3 exons.